AAUUAACUAAGUACAAAUAAAAUAACAAGGUAACCAAUAUAAAUGAUGCAAUAAUAUAGCAGUUCAAUGGGGAUAUUUAUGUUUAAGAACCAAGGUUUGUCUGGAGGAAUUUGGAAAUAAGGUCAAAUUAGUUGUUAAAAUUAAUUAAGGACAGCAAUUGGUCUACAAACAACCAGUCACAAUGCAAAAUCAGAAGGUAAGUAAAACAUUAUUUUAAGAAUUAAAAAUUCAAAGAAUCAUUUGCCAAAUUUCAAGUCAAAACCUUUUUGGAUACUUGAUUCUUUUUUUUCUUUUUUAUCAGCUACCAUUAUCUUAGUAAAAAUAAUAUUUAAGGAAAUAUUUGUUGUAUUAGAAAUCAAUAGUCUUUUUGACAAUUUAUGUUACUAUUAUUUUAAUUAGCCAUCACAUGGAGUAAUGGACAACUAAAAUGCUGGAAAGGAACAUCUAUGGACUGUUACACGAUGGCAACGAGUCGUAUGUAAAUAUUUGACUUUGCUGGUGCAAGUAUUAGCAGUUGAGAUUUUUUACCAACCCUUUAAGUUCCACAUGUGCUUGACGAACCAUUAAUACAAAGAUUAAGAUGUAUAUCACCACCAAUGGCACGUUAAGGGUGAUCUCUGCUUAAACCAGAUUAAAAACUAAAUUACUGUAAAUUCAGGGUUUCCUACAAAAAAAUUCAAACACUUUUCAAGCAUUUUCAAGUUAAAUUUUUUAAACUUUUUGUUCCAAACUUCAGAGCAGUCUUCAUCUCUCCGAGCAUAUAGGCAGAAGGAACCCAAAAGACAUUGUAGGCACAGCACACGACCGAACAUUGCCAGGCCACAGCUACUUUUUGCGUAAAUAAACCAUUAGCUAACCACCUUUACUAGUGUUUUCAGUAAAUUGUUUUGUUGUUGCACAUUUUUAAGUACAGUAGAUGACAUAAAACCCUAGCUUGAUCCACCUUUCAAAACAAUCAAUUUGCAAUUUACCUCCUUCCCACUACAAUGGCUUACCAUUGGAGAGCAACGACUCUCCCAUCAUGAAAGUUGGAGAUCCUUCUUGCAUUUGUUAAAGGAAGCUACUUGAGGAUUUGGUCCUUGUUUCAACCAUGUUUGUGUCUAGUAUAUUCGACCCAGCAAUCAUUAAAAUGGCAACCGCUGGGUAUGCUGUUUUCUCCUACUCACGGUAGACGUGCAUGACGAGCAAGACACGGCUAUGUACUCGAAGCAGGUUUGCUUCAAAACAAUGCCAAUGGACGCUGCCAGUCCAGCAACUGGUCUAUGCUUGAGGUGAUGUCUACUGCUCACAUGCCGGAAUUAUGAAAAGGAGCAAAACCCUCUCUGAGUGGUAGCGAGGCUUUCUGGGACUUCAUUAAAGGCAAAAUUAUCACUCUCUAUUUUGUGCCUUUAACAUAAAAAUAUCAAACUGAAGUUUUUAAUCAAACUGUUAGUGCUUUUUAUUACAAAACGGUGUAGUUAGAAUAUCAAGCAUUUUGAAGGACUCAUAUCAAUCACUUUUCAAACCUUGAAAACACCUUGUUAAAUAUUCAAGCAUUUUCAAGAAUAUCAAGCACCCGUACACACCCUGUGACUUUAAAACAUAACACAGAACAACAGAGUAGCCUCAAGGCUUUGAGGCCUGUUCGUAUUGGCUUCACCAGGUGGCCUUUUUACCACCACAAACAAAGCUAAACACCAUGAAAUAAACAAUAUUUAGAUAGUUUCAUCCUAAACUAAUUUUCUCUGCCCAAACACAACCUCAUUCAUGAACAGGAUGGGAGAUCCAAAGGGCAAUGAAUUACUUCCCAGACGGUGAACAAAGAAUCGUAGUGGCUGCUCUCAGUAGCAGCUGGGGUAGCUUCUAACAGAAGAGUUUGUAUACAUGACAUGUUGUUUAGUCUUAGGAACAAAUCCGUAAAAAAGAUUUUUAAUAAAUUCUCUGUCAUACCACAAAAUUGUUUUAACAUCACUGAGUCAAAUUACAAUAGAUGGACGAAUAUUUCAUCUCAUUAGCCUGAUUUUGUAGACAGCUAAUUGUUGCUGCAUCAGCAACAAGUAAUUCCUUCUUCUCCAUCAGCUGGUCUACCAAGAAACCAUAAAAAAACCAACCAAACUAACACUCCAUAUCAAAGUUUUCCCUCUUUCUUGUAUUGUCAGGUAGUGUGAAACAGAAGCUGGUGUAUGAAACAAAAAAAUCCCUAAACAUAGUCCAUCUUGCUUUUUUAAAUCCAACAUAGUACUGUGAAAAAGUUGUGUUUUCUGUUUGCUUUUGUCACACAUUUCAGAUCAGCCACCAAAAAUAAAUUUUAAAGAGAAACUGAGUAAAUAAAAAGCUGUUAUCGGAUGAUGAUUUCAAGUAUUGAUGCAAGUAAUUACUUCCUAAACCUAGUAACUGGUUGUGACACCCUAGGUCGUAGCAACAGUUGCCAUGAAGCGUUUGAGGUAACUGCCUGAGUCCAUUACAUCGCUGCAGAGAUUUUGGCCCACUGUUGUUUUAAAUUCAGCCACAAUGGAUUGCUAUCCCUUCAUUUCCGGCUGCCUGUUUAAGGUCAUACUACAACAUUUCAAUCAGAUUUAUGUUCAGUCUUUGACUAGGACACUCUAAAACCUUCCUUUUUUAAAGCCAUUUAGAGAUGGACUUGCUGGUGUGCUUUGGAUCACUGUGCUUCUAUUUUCAGAUAAGGCCUCACACAGCUGCUCCUCAUCAAGCAGUGUGGUGGUUGCCUGUGAGGAGAAAAUGUAUCGUUACUUGGACCAACAAGGGUGUUUGGACAAAUGCUUCCCCAAGGGUCCGGACACUGUUUAAAGGUUCCAGGAGAGGCCAUGGGAGAAGGGGGAAGAGUGUGGGGAAUUUUUGUAAAUGGGUUUUUGGUGUUUAUAAUGGUGCUGUGGUAGGUUUAAAGAGAUUAAGUAUUUAUAGUAAUGCAAAAAUGCAUGUAUUUAUGGAAAUGUUCAUUGUCUUGCAAAUGUAUAAAGGCGUUGGUAGACCUCCUGCCUUGAGCCAAUGAUGGUUUAGUCCACAAAUAGCUGAGCCUAUUCUUAGUGAGAGGUGCUUUUUGUAUGAUACUUAUGUAUGGAGACCUGGAUAUGCCAUUAUUGCUCCAAAGAUGAUGAAAUAAAAACCUGCCAAUUCCACCAACCUCUGCCUAAGUUGUCAUCUUCACUGCAAAAUCCAGCCGAGAAAGACCUCCGUGUUACAGUGCUAAAAACUAUGACUCCA
This is a long non-coding RNA of Girardinichthys multiradiatus, 3201 nucleotides long. RefSeq lists it as uncharacterized. Lineage: Eukaryota; Metazoa; Chordata; Actinopteri; Cyprinodontiformes; Goodeidae. The record is from RefSeq and is a predicted model, not a curated record. The transcript is spliced from 3 exons.